This 269-nucleotide long non-coding RNA is filed under the name Salvia miltiorrhiza (redroot sage). Its description in RNAcentral is "long non-coding RNA (SMIL_LNC004017)". Lineage: Eukaryota; Viridiplantae; Streptophyta; Magnoliopsida; Lamiales; Lamiaceae. The record is from RNAcentral.
GUUCCCGAUGACCGUUUCGAUUUGUGGGUGUGUGAGUCUUGACCAUGGUUGUGAGUUAGAGAGAGAUCUGUGAACAGGGGCUGGAUUGGCAACGGUGGUGGUGGUGGCUGUCGCCGGAAAUUUAGAGGGAGAAAGAGAAAGACAGAGAGAGAUGAGGGCGGCGGUGGUAUGCCGGCGACGCGCCGGCGAAUUUGUAGGCAGCGGCGGCGGCGUGAGAUGAGAGGAAGGGAGAGAGAGUGGCGAGAAGGAGAGAGGGAGACCGAUGGGAG